Long non-coding RNA from Panicum virgatum (switchgrass), 320 nucleotides. RefSeq lists it as uncharacterized. The transcript has 3 exons. The record is from RefSeq and is a predicted model, not a curated record. NCBI's taxonomy places the organism in Eukaryota, Viridiplantae, Streptophyta, Magnoliopsida, Poales, Poaceae.
AGGAGAGGCUAUUGUACCAUCCUCGAGUCGUUCAUUGCGCGUCUCGGCCUAGCUAGCUAGCCAUCGAGCCCUAGAGCUGAGCACCGGCUCCUAGUUCCCGUCGCGGGCCUCCGCCACCGGGCCACUUGUGUCACCCACCUCAGUUUGCAGGACGUAUAGCAAGGAGAUUGUUCAGCGAUGGCGGGGCGCGGCAGAGGUCUGAUGAGGUCACUCACAGACCUAUUGGGCGGUAGAUCUACCCAGGCAGGUGAGUCCUCCCAGAGGACUCGACGGACAGGCACGAGAAGUCGGAGGAGUGGAGCGGGUUCGUCGACGCGCGA